RNAcentral lists this ribosomal RNA (834 nucleotides) under Nocardiopsis sp. ZZY-2013. RNAcentral describes it as "bacterial SSU rRNA". It matches the Rfam family "Bacterial small subunit ribosomal RNA", at positions 83 to 915 of the family's 1533-position model. The record is from RNAcentral. Lineage: Bacteria; Bacillati; Actinomycetota; Actinomycetes; Streptosporangiales; Nocardiopsidaceae.
CGGGGUACACGAGCGGCGAACGGGUGAGUCACACGUGAGCAACCUGCCCCCGACUCCGGGAUAAGCGGUGGAAACGCCGUCUAAUACCGGAUACGACCGGCCACCUCAUGGCGGCCGGUGGAAAGUUUUCUCGGUUGGGGAUGGGCUCGCGGCCUAUCAGCUAGUUGGUGGGGUAAAGGCCUACCAAGGCGAUUACGGGUAGCCGGCCUGAGAGGGCGACCGGCCACACUGGGACUGAGACACGGCCCAGACUCCUGCGGGAGGCAGCAGUGGGGAAUAUUGCGCAAUGGGCGAAAGCCUGACGCAGCGACGCCGCGUGGGGGAUGACGGCCUUCGGGUUGUAAACCUCUUUUACCACCAACGCAGGCUCCCAGUUCUCUGGGGGUUGACGGUAGGUGGGGAAUAAGGACCGGCUAACUACGUGCCAGCAGCCGCGGUAAUACGUAGGGUCCGAGCGUUGUCCGGAAUUAUUGGGCGUAAAGAGCUCGUAGGCGGCGUGUCGCGUCUGCUGUGAAAGACCGGGGCUUAACUCCGGUUCUGCAGUGGAUACGGGCAUGCUAGAGGUAGGUAGGGGAGACUGGAAUUCCUGGUGUAGCGGUGAGAUGCGCAGAUAUCAGGAGGAACAGCGGUGGCGAAGGCGGGUCUCUGGGCCUUACCUGACGCUGAGGAGCGAAAGCAUGGGGAGCGAACAGGAGUAGAUACCCUGGUAGUCCAUGCCGUAAACGUUGGGGCGCUAGGUGUGGGGACUUUCCACGGUUUCCGCGCCGUAGCUAACGCAUUAAGCGCCCCGCCUGGGGAGUACGGCCGCAAGGCUAAACCUCAAAGGAUGUGACG